CAGUCGCCGCGGUAACACGGAGGGCGCGAGCGUUACCCGGAUUUACUGGGCGUAAAGGGCGUGUAGGCGGCCUGGGGCGUCCCGUGUGAAAGGCCACGGCUUAACCGUGGAGGAGCGUGGGAUACGCUCAGGCUAGAGGGUGGGAGAGGGUGGUGGAAUUCCCGGAGUAGCGGUGAAAUGCGCAGAUACCGGGAGGAACGCCGAUGGCGAAGGCAGCCACCUGGUCCACUUCUGACGCUGAGGCGCGAAAGCGUGGGGAGCAAACCGGAUUAGAUACCCGCGUAGUCCCUGUCUCUUAUAC
This 301-nucleotide ribosomal RNA is filed under the name uncultured bacterium. Its description in RNAcentral is "partial 16S ribosomal RNA". It matches the Rfam family "Bacterial small subunit ribosomal RNA", at positions 509 to 807 of the family's 1533-position model. The record is from RNAcentral.